Molecule: ribosomal RNA, 521 nt
Filed under: uncultured bacterium
Lineage: Bacteria
Description: bacterial SSU rRNA
Rfam family: Bacterial small subunit ribosomal RNA
Source: RNAcentral
AGAGUUUGAUCCUGGCUCAGGAUGAACGCUAGCUGGAGGCCUUAUACAUGCAAGUCGAGCUGGAUUCANGACUUUCGGUUGUGAUGAGAGCGGCGCACGGGUGAGUAACGCGUACACGACCUACCUCUGACAGGGGGAUAGCCCCGGGAAACUGGGAUUAAUACCGCAUACGAUUCAGUUGAUAGAGCGACUGAAUGAAAGCUGAGGCGGUCAGAGAUGGGUGUGCGUCUGAUUAGCUAGUUGGUAGGGUAACGGCCUACCAAGGCGAUGAUCAGUAGGGGGCGUGAGAGCGUGAUCCCCCACACGGGUACUGAGACACGGACCCGACUCCUACGGGAGGCAGCAGUAAGGAAUAUUGGUCAAUGGGCGCAAGCCUGAACCAGCCAUCCAGCGUACAGGAAGACGGCCCUAUGGGUUGUAAACUGCUUUAGUCAGGGAAUAAACCCCUGGAUUUACUCCGGGGCUGAAGGUACCUGAAGAAUAAGCACCGGCUAACUCCGUGCCAGCAGCCGCGGUAAUAC